GAUGAACGCUGGCGGCGUGCCUAAUACAUGCAAGUCGAGCGAACAGACGAGGAGCUUGCUCCUCUUACGUUAGCGGCGGACGGGUGAGGAACACGUGGAUAACCUACCUAUAAGACUGGGAUAACUUCGGGAAACCGGAGCUAAUACCGGAUAAUAUGUUGAAUCGCAUGGUUCAACAGUGAAAGACGGUCUUGCUGUCACUGAUAGAUGGAUCCGCGCCGCAUUAGCUAGUUGGUAAGGUAACGGUUUACCAAGGCAACGAUGCGUAGCCGACCUGAGAGGGUGAUGGGCCACACUGGAAUUGAGACACGGUCCAGACUCCUACGGGAGGCAGCAGUAGGGAAUCUUCCGCAAUGGGCGAAAGCCUGACGGAGCAACGCCGCGUGAGUGAAGAAGGUCUUCGGAUCGUAAAACUCUGUUAUUAGGGAAGAACAAAUGUGUAAGUAACUAUGCACGUCUUGACGGUACCUAAUCAGAAAGCAACGGCUAACUACGUG
This 497-nucleotide ribosomal RNA is filed under the name uncultured bacterium. RNAcentral's name for it is "partial 16S ribosomal RNA". It matches the Rfam family "Bacterial small subunit ribosomal RNA", at positions 28 to 507 of the family's 1533-position model. The record is from RNAcentral.